AUGGCUGUCGUCAGCUCGUGUCGUGAGAUGUUGGGUUAAGUCCCGCAACGAGCGCAACCCUUGUCCUGUGUUACCAUGCCGAAAGGCGGCACUCGCAGGAGACCGCCAGCGAUAAGCUGGAGGAAGGUGGGGAUGACGUCAAGUCCUCAUGGCCUUUAUGUCCAGGGCUACACACGUGCUACAAUGGGCGGUACAAAGCGCUGCUAAACCGCAAGGUGGAGCCAAUCGCAAAAAGCCGCUCUCAGUUCGGAUUGCAGGCUGCAACUCGCCUGCAUGAAGCUGGAAUCGCUAGUAAUGCUAUAUCAGAACGAUAGCGUGAAUACGUUCCCGGGCCUUGUACACACCGCCCGUCACAUCACGAAAGUGGAUUGUACUAGAAGUCUGCGCGCUAACCCGCAAGGGAGGCAGCGGCCCAAGGUAUGAUUCAUGAUUGGGGUGAAGUCGUAACAAGGUAGCCGUAGGAGAACCUGCGGCUGGAUCACCUCCUUUCUAAGAGAACGUGGGUGGAGUCGCCGACAAGUACACGGCGAUAGUCGUUCCACUCCAUAAACUCGCUCGGAUUUCUCUGCUCGGGGUUACGGAAGUAGAUAUGGGCUAGGGGCUGGACCCCGGGCUCGCGCGUCCAAUCGGCCUCGAUUGAUUUAUUCUUACCAGGGGCUGUAGCUCAGCUGGGAGAGCGCCUGAUUUGCAUUCAGGAGGUCGCCGGUUCGAUCCCGACCAGCUCCACCAGCUUUGAGGAAAGUCCGCUUGCUUAUGCGCGCGGUCCUGUUCUGAAGCCCAUCCGGGCCUGUAGCUCAGUUGGCUAGAGCGCACCCCUGAUAAGGGUGAGGUCGGUAGUUCGAUUCUACCCAGGCCCACCACGAUUUUGCAGUUGCAUUAUGAUCUUUGACAAUUGAAUAUUGACGGGCAUUUACUACAAGUAAAUGCAGAAGCGCAGAAAGAAUGUACAUCUGUGCUUAGAAUAGAUUUUAUGGUCAAGCUACUAAGGGCGUGUGUGUGGAUGCCUUGGCGCAAGUAGGCGAUGAAGGACGUGGUCAGCUGCGAUAAGCUUCGGGGAGUUGCUAACAAACUGUGAUCCGGAGAUGUCCGAAUGGGGAAACCCG
RNAcentral lists this small RNA (1103 nucleotides) under uncultured Candidatus Solibacter sp. Its description in RNAcentral is "bacterial SSU rRNA". The stretch from base 1 to 489 matches the Rfam family "Bacterial small subunit ribosomal RNA", at positions 1045 to 1533 of the family's 1533-position model. The record is from RNAcentral. Lineage: Bacteria; Pseudomonadati; Acidobacteriota; Terriglobia; Bryobacterales; Solibacteraceae.